GGAGUGAACGCUGGCGGCAGGCCUAACACAUGCAAGUCGAGCGGCAGCGCGGGGGGCAACCCUGGCGGCGAGCGGCGGACGGGUGAGGAAUACAUCGGAAUCUGCCUUGUUGUGGGGGGAUAACGUAGGGAAACUUACGCUAAUACCGCAUAAGACCUGAGGGUGAAAGCGGGGGACCGCAAGGCCUCGCGCGACAAGAUGAGCCGAUGUCCGAUUAGCUAGUUGGUGAGGUAAAGGCUCACCGAAGGCGACGAGUCGGUAGCUGGUCUGGAGAGGAUGAUCGACGCCACACGUGAACUGACGACCACGGUCCAGACCUCCGUACGGGAGGCAGCGAGGUAGGGAAUAGUUACGGAACGUAAGU
RNAcentral lists this ribosomal RNA (364 nucleotides) under uncultured soil bacterium. RNAcentral describes it as "bacterial SSU rRNA". It matches the Rfam family "Bacterial small subunit ribosomal RNA", at positions 27 to 382 of the family's 1533-position model. The record is from RNAcentral.